GAAUAAGCACCGGCUAACUUCGUGCCAGCAGCCGCGGUAAUACGAAGGGUGCAAGCGUUACUCGGAAUUACUGGGCGUAAAGCGUGCGUAGGUGGUUGUUUAAGUCUGUUGUGAAAGCCCUGGGCUCAACCUGGGAAUUGCAGUGGAUACUGGGCGACUAGAGUGUGGUAGAGGGUAGUGGAAUUCCCGGUGUAGCAGUGAAAUGCGUAGAGAUCGGGAGGAACAUCCAUGGCGAAGGCAGCUACCUGGACCAACACUGACACUGAGGCACGAAAGCGUGGGGAGCAAACAGGAUUAGAUACCCUGGUAGUCCACGCCCUAAACGAUGCGAACUGGAUGUUGGGUGCAAUUUGGCACGCAGUAUCGAAGCUAACGCGUUAAGUUCGCCGCCUGGGGAGUACGGUCGCAAGACUGAAACUCAAAGGAAUUGACGGGGGCCCGCACAAGCGGUGGAGUAUGUGGUUUAAUUCGAUGCAACGCGAAGAACCUUACCUGGUCUUGACAUGUCGAGAACUUUCCAGAGAUGGAUUGGUGCCUUCGGGAACUCGAACACAGGUGCUGCAUGGCUGUCGUCAGCUCGUGUCGUGAG
Molecule: ribosomal RNA, 589 nt
Filed under: Stenotrophomonas rhizophila
Lineage: Bacteria; Pseudomonadati; Pseudomonadota; Gammaproteobacteria; Lysobacterales; Lysobacteraceae
Description: bacterial SSU rRNA
Rfam family: Bacterial small subunit ribosomal RNA
Source: RNAcentral